GAUGAACGCUAGCGGCAGGCUUAACACAUACAAGUCGAGGGGCAGCAUGAGACGGAGAUUCGUCGAGGUCUUGAUGGCGACCGGCGCAAGGGUGCGUAACGCGUGAGCAACUUGCCCGUUUCUAGGGCAUAACCGGUGGAAACGCCGACUAAUUCCCAUAGAAUUGGAUUUAGGCAUCUUUAUCCAAUUAAAGAAUUUCGGAAACGGAUAGGCUCGCGUGACAUUAGCUAGAUGGCGGGGUAACGGCCCACCAUGGCUACGAUGUCUAGGGGUUCUGAGAGGAAGGUCCCCCACACUGGAACUGAGACACGGUCCAG
This 317-nucleotide ribosomal RNA is filed under the name uncultured bacterium. RNAcentral's name for it is "bacterial SSU rRNA". It matches the Rfam family "Bacterial small subunit ribosomal RNA", at positions 28 to 334 of the family's 1533-position model. The record is from RNAcentral.